GAUGAAGAACGCAGCGAAAUGCGAUACUUGGUGUGAAUUGCAGAAUCCCGUGAACCAUCGAGUCUUUGAACGCAAGUUGCGCCCGAAGCCAUUAGGCCGAGGGCACGCCUGCCUGGGUGUCGCACAUCGUUGCCCCAAUGCCUCAGCCCUGUUGCAAGGCAUGGCAAAGGGGCGAAUGUUGGCUUCCCGCGAGCGAUGCCCUCACGGUUGGCUGAAAAUCGAGUCCGUGGUGGAGUGUGCCGCGAUGGAUGGUGGUUGAGUGAUGAUGCUCGGGACCAAUCAUGGGUAACUCCACCAGAAUUGGGCUCGGUGACCCACAUGCGUCCCUUGGAUGCUCCCUAAGGAGACCUCAGGUCAGGCGGGGCUACCCGCUGAGUUUAAGCAUAUCAAUAAGCGGAGGA
RNAcentral lists this unclassified non-coding RNA (401 nucleotides) under soil metagenome. RNAcentral describes it as "partial contains 5.8S ribosomal RNA, internal transcribed spacer 2, and large subunit ribosomal RNA". The stretch from base 1 to 122 matches the Rfam family "5.8S ribosomal RNA", at positions 35 to 154 of the family's 154-position model. The record is from RNAcentral.